UACAGAGGUCUCAAGCGUUGUUCGGAUUCAUUGGGCGUAAAGGGUGCGUAGGCGGCGCGGUAAGUCGGGUGUGAAAUCUCGGAGCUUAACUCCGAAACUGCAUUCGAUACUGCCGUGCUUGAGGACUGGAGAGGAGACUGGAAUUUACGGUGUAGCGGUGAAAUGCGUAGAUAUCGUAAGGAAGACCAGUGGCGAAGGCGGGUCUCUGGACAGUUCCUGACGCUGAGGCACGAAGGUCUGGGGAUCAAACGGG
RNAcentral lists this ribosomal RNA (253 nucleotides) under uncultured bacterium. Its description in RNAcentral is "partial 16S ribosomal RNA". It matches the Rfam family "Bacterial small subunit ribosomal RNA", at positions 524 to 776 of the family's 1533-position model. The record is from RNAcentral.